CAGCAGCCGCGGUAAUACGUAGGGGGCGAGCGUUACCCGGAAUCACUGGGCGUAAAGGGAGCGUAGGUGGCCUAACAUGUCAACUGUGAAAACCCGGAGCUCAACUCCGGACUUGCAGUUGAAACUGGUAGGCUUGAGGACGGUAGAGGAAGACGGAACUGCCAGUGUAGGGGUAAAAUCCUUAGAUAUUGGCAGGAACGCCGGUGACGAAGGUGGUUUUCUGGGCCGGUUCUGACACUGAUGCUCGAAAGCCAGGGGAGCGAACGGGAUUAGAUACCCCGGUAGUCCUGGCCCUAAACGAUGUUCACUAGGUGUGGGGAGCGGAAAGCCCUCCGUGCUAAAGCUAACGCGAUAAGUGAACCGCCUGGGGAGUACGCCCGCAAGGGUGAAACUCAAAGGAAUUGACGGGGACCCGCACAAGCGGUGGAGCGUGUGGUUUAAUUCGAUGCUAAGCGAAGGACCUUACCAAGGUUUGACAUGCUAAUGGUAGUGAAUUGAAAGAGGAACGACCACACUAUGUGUGGAGUUAGCACAGGAGGUGCAUGGCC
This 548-nucleotide ribosomal RNA is filed under the name uncultured archaeon. RNAcentral describes it as "bacterial SSU rRNA". It matches the Rfam family "Bacterial small subunit ribosomal RNA", at positions 509 to 1050 of the family's 1533-position model. The record is from RNAcentral.